RNAcentral lists this unclassified non-coding RNA (329 nucleotides) under soil metagenome. Its description in RNAcentral is "partial contains 5.8S ribosomal RNA, internal transcribed spacer 2, and large subunit ribosomal RNA". The stretch from base 1 to 120 matches the Rfam family "5.8S ribosomal RNA", at positions 35 to 154 of the family's 154-position model. The record is from RNAcentral.
GAUGAAGAACGCAGCGAAAUGCGAUAAGUAGUGUGAAUUGCAGAAUUCAGUGAAUCAUCGAAUCUUUGAACGCACAUUGUGCCCCUUGGUAUCCCGAGGGGCAUGCCUGUUCGAGCGUCAUUUCACCACUCAAGCCUGGCUUGGUGUUGGGCGACGUCCUCUUUGGGGACGCGCCUCGAAACGCUCGGCGGCGUGGCACCGGCUUUAAGCGUAGCAGAAUCUUUCGCUUUGGAAGUCGGGGCCCCGUCUGCCGGAAGACCUGCUCGCAAGGUUGACCUCGGAUCAGGCAGGGAUACCCGCUGAACUUAAGCAUAUCAAUAAGCGGAGGA